GGGGAACAUCCACCGCCCUUCAUCACAGCGCACCAGCUCACUCGAAAGCUGACACGCACUCCUUUCUAUAGGAUAACGGCUUACCAAAACACCUCGGGCAGUGGCCAAUAAUCUGCUGUUGUACAAGUAGCUCCGUAGGAAUAGCGUUAGCGAAAAAGAAGACGGGGAAAGGUGGCUAAGGCACACCAGCCGUCACCUGUUUUUCUUUUUAAUUGUAUUCCCGUCAGCGCCGUCCUCGAUCGCCGCCAGAGGACACCAGAGACGCCACUCGCACGUAGCGGAAUCCCGUUGUAUCGUCGUAGCCCCUUUCCAAAGAGCGGCUUGCAUCUCCCCUAGAAACCAAUAGCAACCAUGGGCCUCGAUACGUGGAAGACAUUUCCGAAGAUCCUGUCGGAGUACCCCAAGCACGGGGUGCCGCUGCCGUGCUCUGAUCAGCAUCCGCGGCUGCCGUGCCCCGAGACGCGCUGGGCCCGCGAUUUCUGCCUUGCACAGGGCGGCAACUGCGAGUAUAAGAUCGAGGCGCACUUCGACUGCCUUGAGCAGCACUACCCGAAGGAGAAGGUCGAUGAGCUGCGCAAGAUCUUCAAGCCCAGCACCCUAGACUACCCCACCUCCGACACCUACAUCCGCUACCGCCACUACUACAUUGGCGCGCCGUGGAUGUCCAAGAACAACUGGGAGGGAACGCGCUAGACGGAAGCCUUGCAUACACACUCACACGCAUGCGAGAGGGACCGACCGCACAGCACUGAGGUCAACGUCCGGCAACGUCUCCUUCCCCCAUCCUCUCUGGCCGUCUUCUCCGCUCUCUUUCUCUUUCUACGGAGGAUAUUGCCCCCCCCCCUCCCCCCCUUCCCCCUUCCUCUCCUCCUCCGGUCUCCCUGCUCACCUCUCACACGCCAUCGAGAGUCAGGGAGGGUGAUGGCUGAGGCGAACGAGUACGGGUGACUUUACUGGUGCCCCCUCCCCCCGCUUCGUGCGGCUCUCUCUCUGUGUGUAGUGGUCCGUUGGGGAACGUGCAAGAGUGCCGCUGUUCCUGGGGCGUUUCUCGUGCUUUGCCUUUGCCUCGGACUCGUAUGACCGAAUGCGCUCCCUCGCAGGCGCCAACCGCCGAUGCGUCAAACCAACGCGGAAUUCGAUAGACUGCUUUCGCGACCUUUCCAGACCGCGCCGUCGGCUGGUCUGCACCCUCCCUCUCCUCCACACGGUCAGACUGGGAGCACGCUUCGAGGCUGCCCUGCCCCUCUCGUCUGUUGUCGCGCUUCGUCGCGGCAGCCUGUGGGCCUCUCUUUCUCCAGCCCGCGGUACAGGCGCGACCGUAGGAAGGGGCGCUCGAGGCAAAAGAUGGGAUCGUUGGCCCGUAGCUUUUAGCGGACUGCUGUGAAGAGCGGCAUGCCGAGGACAUGCCGCUUUUGAUAAUUCUUCUUUGGUAUUCUGAGUGUGGUCGUGAUGAUGGGACCGGUGCUGCCUUAUCGUGCGCUGAACGCGGCGUCGCUG
Molecule: unclassified non-coding RNA, 1497 nt
Filed under: Leishmania donovani
Lineage: Eukaryota; Euglenozoa; Kinetoplastea; Trypanosomatida; Trypanosomatidae
Description: gene:LdHU3.23.1170(CDS-product:Cytochrome_C_oxida se_copper_chaperone_(COX17)_putative)
Source: RNAcentral